GCGCCAGUAGUCUAAUGGUAGGACGUCGCCCUGCCACGGCGGCAAUUCGGGUUCGAAGAGUGCAUGAUGGCUUGGGAGUUAGAAGCAGGCCAUCUCUCGAAUCUCCCGACUGGCGCA
Molecule: transfer RNA, 117 nt
Filed under: Candidatus Aenigmatarchaeota archaeon
Lineage: Archaea; Nanobdellati; Candidatus Aenigmatarchaeota
Description: tRNA-Gly
Rfam family: tRNA
About the family: Transfer RNA (tRNA) molecules are approximately 80 nucleotides in length. Their secondary structure includes four short double-helical elements and three loops (D, anti-codon, and T loops).
Source: RNAcentral